GCUCCUCCCCCAGCUGCCCGUGUGUUGAGCGACAGACAUCACUCCUGAGGGUGCAACGCGUGGAUCAGGUGGUUCAUAAGCGCAUUCAAAUGCAGGCGUGUGGAGGCGAUCGCGCAGACACACACACAAAAACCAACAACAUCCCUGAUUUAACUGAACCCACACAACAUUUUAACAUCCUGACAGAUGUGUAGGAACUCAGCGUGUCGCCCCUACAAACGUGCACACUUCACAAAGAAUGACAAAAUGGGAAAUAAAA
This is a long non-coding RNA of Thalassophryne amazonica, 259 nucleotides long. RefSeq lists it as uncharacterized. The transcript has 2 exons. The record is from RefSeq and is a predicted model, not a curated record. Lineage: Eukaryota; Metazoa; Chordata; Actinopteri; Batrachoidiformes; Batrachoididae.